GUCGAGGAACUAGAGCAAGCACGCUUGUAGUCGUUUCGUUUGGAACACUGCCCUGCAUCCCCGCCACACACAAUUACUAUUGUUGUUUAUGCAAUCCAAAAACGGUCUAUUAUAAAUCGCAAUCUGGGUCAGAUGGGCGUCAGUGCUUAAUUUGAGCCGGAUCCCGAAACCUCUCCGUUUAUUUUUUUUUUUUUCGGAACCAAUUCCGGUACCUCUCCUAUUGCAUUUCAAAUUAUUUUCACUGGUAGUUAUGUAAUAAGUGUAAUAAAAGCAAUCACUUAAUUGAUGUUGACUCCUCAAUAAUUCUACUGCUCCCUAAAAAACAAUGUGAAAACGUGCUUGAUAUUCUAAGAAUUGAUUCAUGUUGGAGCGGCCGGGUUUAUGUUUUCCGCAACAUUGUAGCCUAUAUAGCACAACACUGUGGUGAGAGAGAAGCGCGCCUGUAUCUCGCACCGAACUGAAGAGAUUAACUUUCUAUUAUGUCUUUCCCCCUCUCUGCUCUGAUAGACAUGAGCCUGCAACACUCAUCUUUUCAGCGUUGCACUUCGUAAUUUAUUUCCUUAUAGAAUCAUAGCCACAGGGGGUUCCACAGCACCCCUGAUUGAUUGAAAUACAUUUGCCGAAGUUUUGCUUCGUCGCCAAACCCACUGGCUCCAGGUUAUCUAUAAGUCUUUGCUAGGUAAAGCCCCGCCUUAUCUCAGCUUACUGGUCACCAUAGCAACACCCACCCUUAGCACGCGCUCCAGCAGGUAUAUUGCACUGGUGAUCCCCAAAGCCAACACUUCCUUUGGCCUCCUUUCCUUCCAGUUCUCUGCUGCCAAUGACUGGAAUGAACUGCAAAAAUCACUGAAGGUGGAGUCUUAUAUCUCCCUCUCUAACUUUAAGCAUCAGCUGUCAGAGCAGCUUACCGAUCACUGUACCUGUACACAGCCAAUCUGUAAAUAGCACACCCAACUACCUCAUCCCCAUAUUAUUCCUUACCCUCUGGCUCUUUUGCACCCCAGUAUCUCUACUUGCACAUCAUCAUCUGCACAUCUAUCACUCCAGUAUUAAUGCUAAAUUGUAAUUAUUUCGCCUCUAUGGCCUAUUUAUUGCCUACCUCCCUACUCUUCUACAUUUGCACACACUGUACAUAGAUUUUCUAUUUUUCUUUUCUAUUGUGUUGUUGACUGUUCAUUUGUUUAUGUGUUGUUGUUUUUGUUGCACUGCUUUGCUUUAUCUUGGCCAGGUCGCAGUUGUAAAUGAGAGCUUGUUCUCAACUGGCCUACCUGGUUAUAUAAAGGUGAAAUAAAAUAAAAUUUAAAAAAAUCAACAUUCCAUAUAAGAAUUGGGGUAAAUUAAAAUUGUCAGUCAAUUCAGGAAGUGUACUGAAAAAUUAUAAUUCAAUAAGAGUUAGGUACUUUCAAUUACUUCUCAAUAAACUGAAAAGGAGAAACUAUUUCAAACGUUUUUCAACUUUGUAAUUUUAAAUUCGAUUCCCUUUCUGAAUUAGAAUUGACCCAUACCCUGUUCCACAUUAUGCCAUAAUGCUGUUCCACUGUGUAGUUAGCUCAUUAGUGAUGUCAUAAUGUAAUUCUACUGUGCAGUCUGUGAUGUCAUAAUACCAUGACAUUCCAAUCAGCAGUUCUCAUUACCUCUUUGUUGUUACUUUUCAACCUGGCUGUGUAAAACACUGAGAGACACAGACACAGUGCAGAGAGAGGGACCUUUCCCCCACUGGCUCUUGUGGUGUUGUGGUUGUGAAGAUGGUGAGGAAGAGUGGGGCGUUCGACCUGAACCGCUGCACUGUGCGGCAGCUGGUACAGCUGUCUGGCAUCCCUCUGGACAACGCCAGGAAGCUGGUACGCUUCAGGGGUCGCCAGCAGAGGAGGGCCCGCCGCAUGGAGGAGGAGAGGAGGGCCCGACUGGAGAGGCGACAUAAUCUCCGGGCUGAGCUCCAGGAGGAGGAGGGGGAAGUUGUAAGGUCACACAGGCACCGAGCUGGAGCAGUGCUGGGACCUGCACCGGGACCGGGUAACAGGAAACGUACAGAGGAUGGUGUGUCCAUGUUGUCAGCACCAGCAGUUCAUCCUCCAAGACAAAUGUCUGGCCAGAGGCAUAUUUCCCUGCUUGAGAACCAGCAGCAGCAGGACCAGGAGGAGGUCCACCAGCCCAGCCCAGGGCCCUCUCACCCGGCUGGGCUAGAACUAGAGCCAGAGACCCUCCCUCUCCGGAGACUCAGUGAGAAUGAGAGAAGAAUAAGCAGGGGAAGCCAGCAGCACAGCAGACGCAGCAGUAGGAUGAAGUCUGGGCAGCGGGACAGUCGUAAAGUUAUUGUCGUCGAGAUCAGGACACCCAGGGACAGAGUGUACAAGGACCACAGUAAUGAUCCUAUGAGUGAAGAUGAGACAGAGUUCCAAUAUGACUUUCCAGUGAAACGAGAGGACAAGGCGACCCACUACUCUGGCCCCAUCUACUCUCCGCUCCUACAACCACAGGAUCUGCUGCCACAACAACAGCCCUACAGCUUCUCUCCAGCACAACUAAUUCAGCAGGAGACCUCCAUGGAUCCAUCCAGGCCUCCUGCCCAAGCUCCCCCAGCCCAGGUGCCUCUUGCUGGGCUACGCUCAGGUCGAGCCACAGGGUCCUUCUGGAGCCUUCCUUCAGGAGCCAUCUCCACUCCAGCUACAACCUCAGCUCCAGGCACAUCCAAAGCCCACCCUGCCUGCACCAGGCCCUUGCGAGGCAGCCCAGGAGGCUGGACAGGGCCAUUGGUUCCAGGGAGCUCAUUGUAAGAUCUGUGGGGCUCUGGAGUGGUGCUGGGCUAAGAUACGACCAUCACGGUCACAACCGCAUCUGCAACACACCGCCUCUUUAGAGACGAGAGGAACCACGGUCCUCCAGAGGAACCAAAGGAUCCUGGAGGAGAGGAGGAGGUGCAGGAGGAGGAGAAGGAGAAGGGAGGAGCAGGAGAGGGAGCGGAGGAGGGAGGUGCAGAGGAGGGAGAGAAGGGAGAGGGAGGGAGCAGUGCAAGAUGGCAGGAGCAAGGCAGAAGAUCCCAGACAGCGACAAUGCAUAAUUUCUUGAUCUUUAUGCAUAGUGGCAUCGGGCCUUACCCAUGUCGUGAGUAACUGAGAACCAAAAUACAGCUAAGUUCAUCCUACAGUUUGUGUUCUCCUUUUUGCAAGUGUAAUUGAAGGCAUAUUCUAUUGAUGGUAUUUACAUUGACAUUACACCGUUCUUCUUGAAU
Molecule: long non-coding RNA, 3229 nt
Filed under: Salmo salar (Atlantic salmon)
Lineage: Eukaryota; Metazoa; Chordata; Actinopteri; Salmoniformes; Salmonidae
Description: lncRNA (ENSSSAG00000115331.1)
Source: RNAcentral